GAUGAACGCUAGCGACAGGCUUAACACAUGCAAGUCGAGGGGCAGCACAGGUAGCAAUACCGGGUGGCGACCGGCGCACGGGUGAGUAACGCGUAUGCAACUUACCUAUCAGAGGGGGAUAACCCGGCGAAAGUCGGACUAAUACCGCAUGAAGCAGGGGUCCCGCAUGGGGAUAUUUGCUAAUGAUUCAUCGCUGAUAGAUAGGCAUGCGUUCCAUUAGGCAGUUGGCGGGGUAACGGCCCACCAAACCGACGAUGGCUGGUGGUUCUGAGAGGAAGGUCCCCCACAUUGGGACUGAGAUACGGACCAAACGACUACGGGAGGCAGCAGUGAGGAAUAUUGGUCAAGGGCCGAGAGGCUGAACCAACCAAGUCGCGUGAGGGAUGAAGGUUCUAUGGAUCGUAAACCUCUUUUAUAAGGGAAUAAAGUGCGGGACGUGUCCCGUUUUGUAUGUACCUUAUGAAUAAGGAUCGGCUAACUCCGUG
RNAcentral lists this ribosomal RNA (485 nucleotides) under uncultured bacterium. Its description in RNAcentral is "partial 16S ribosomal RNA". It matches the Rfam family "Bacterial small subunit ribosomal RNA", at positions 28 to 507 of the family's 1533-position model. The record is from RNAcentral.